GCAUUGGUAGUUCAGUGGUAGAAUUCUUGCCUAUUAUGCAGGAGACCUGGAUUCAAUUCCUGCCAAUGCA
Non-coding RNA from Trichechus manatus latirostris (Florida manatee), 70 nucleotides. Lineage: Eukaryota; Metazoa; Chordata; Mammalia; Sirenia; Trichechidae. The record is from the annotation of a RefSeq genome assembly.